Molecule: ribosomal RNA, 588 nt
Filed under: uncultured bacterium
Lineage: Bacteria
Description: partial 16S ribosomal RNA
Rfam family: Bacterial small subunit ribosomal RNA
Source: RNAcentral
UGGGGAAUUUUGGACAAUGGGCGAAAGCCUGAUCCAGCAAUGCCGCGUGUGUGAAGAAGGCCUUCGGGUUGUAAAGCACUUUUGUCCGGAAAGAAAUCCUUGGCUCUAAUACAGUCGGGGGAUGACGGUACCGGAAGAAUAAGCACCGGCUAACUACGUGCCAGCAGCCGCGGUAAUACGUAGGGUGCAAGCGUUAAUCGGAAUUACUGGGCGUAAAGCGUGCGCAGGCGGUUUGCUAAGACCGAUGUGAAAUCCCCGGGCUCAACCUGGGAACUGCAUUGGUGACUGGCAGGCUAGAGUAUGGCAGAGGGGGGUAGAAUUCCACGUGUAGCAGUGAAAUGCGUAGAGAUGUGGAGGAAUACCGAUGGCGAAGGCAGCCCCCUGGGCCAAUACUGACGCUCAUGCACGAAAGCGUGGGGGAGCAAACAGGAUUAGAUACCCUGGGUAGUCCACGCCCUAAACGAUGUCAACUAGUUGUUGGGGAUUCAUUUCCUUAGUAACGUAGCUAACGCGUGAAGUUGACCGCCUGGGGGAGUACGGUCGCAAGAUUAAAACUUAAAUGAAUUGACGGGGUCAUAGCUGUUUCCU